UUUCGUUGCAUGUUAAAUCGUGAAUUUAAGUCGGGCAACGUAGCAUUUUUCUCAUUAAAGAAUCCGCGCCUCAAGGCUAUCGCGUCCUAUGACCUCCACGGGUUUCAAUCAGAGUUGAUGUGCAACGUGUCACAAUCAGCUCUGUCCGUUCUCAGCAUAAAUAGCGCCCGUUGCAGGUCCGCUGUCCGACCCAUACUUCGCUUUUCUACGCUCAUUCCAUCAUUGCCCCGAGUGAGUCCUCCUCCGGCUCCGGUGAAGGUGGCGACCACGGUUUUGUUGUCACGGCUGCCUCAGAUUCGCUUGGUGCAGGUCGGGAACGCUUUGAUCCGGACGCGGACGAGCCAGAUCCCGCCUUGCACCAACUGAAUCGGAGGCGGACAGCGACCAUCUCGACCUCCCUUCCUUCCGCCCGUCCGCCCCAUUUCUUGGAUCCCAUCUAUCCAUGCUAUUAGAUUGGUGGUAGGUUUCGGUUGUCUGGCGGCAAUUGGUUGUUGAAGAUCUCUUCUGAUCGAGUGUUUCAAGCUUUUGCAAAACUCAAUCUUCUGCAGAAAUUUUGGGAUCCACUAUGGUUUUUCGUAAUCUGCAUCUAGUAUGCGUGGUAGAUCUGUCUCUGAGGUUCAUCCCGAUUCGCCAUUCAUGCUUGUGAAGCACUUGCAGUACGUGCAAUUGGAUGUUUUGCCUGCUCAGAUGUUUUUAUUUAUCUCUAUAAAAUUCAUCCUGAUUGUCAACCUGAUCGUGAGCUUAAGGCUAGUGAAAUCCCUGGAACUAUUAAUUGUUCUGUUCUUCUUCUUCCCUUAUCGUUUCUCUCCUAGUUCUAGACCAGUCCAUGAAAAGGGGAAAAGAACGCCAGCUUCUUAGCCUACUUACCCAUCUUCUUCUCAGUCACAAGACUCGAUCACGAACUUAAUCGUGAUUUUGCCUUAGGAUUUGGAUAUAUGAUCAGAAUCGUGCAAAUAUAUUCUUUAUCAAUACAAAUACCUCAAAAUUGGGGUGCGUAGCACAUUUCUAAGAGUAAUCCUUAGAAUAUGGUAUUGUUGAUGUUUUAUUUGCUAUGCCAUGUAGCUGCUUUAUUAAUGUUCGUUGGUUGCUCUU
Musa acuminata subsp. malaccensis (wild Malaysian banana) is the source of this 1092-nucleotide non-coding RNA. NCBI's taxonomy places the organism in Eukaryota, Viridiplantae, Streptophyta, Magnoliopsida, Zingiberales, Musaceae. The record is from RefSeq and is a predicted model, not a curated record.